GCUGGGAUACCGAAGUGGUCAUAACGGGGCGGUCUUGAAAACCGUUAGAGUGAAAGCUCACGCGGGUUCGAAUCCUGCUCCCAGCGCCA
This 89-nucleotide transfer RNA is filed under the name Eubacteriales bacterium. Its description in RNAcentral is "tRNA-Ser". It matches the Rfam family "tRNA". Rfam says of the family: Transfer RNA (tRNA) molecules are approximately 80 nucleotides in length. Their secondary structure includes four short double-helical elements and three loops (D, anti-codon, and T loops). Lineage: Bacteria; Bacillati; Bacillota; Clostridia; Eubacteriales. The record is from RNAcentral.